CAAAGGCUUAAGGGCACAGAGCUCCUUGACAGUGCAAUUUGGGGCCAGAGGUCAGGGCAGUCCAGACUUCCCUCUAACCGGGCAAGGCUCAGGCCCAGCUGUGGAUGCUGCCAUACUUGCUGUCCCCUCCUACUUCCUCCAGGCACUGCCUGGCUUCUGGGGCAGAGUUCUGAGUGACAGCUCAUUAGCUGCAGAGAGCCCGUGGAAAUCUAAACUUUAGGACAAUCUGUCUGGCCUUGUUUGGGAGCCAGGCUGGUCAGCAAUGGCCAGAGAACAAAGGGCUCUACAGCUCUGGGAAGAAAACAGCAUGAAGCUUUAAUGGUGCACUGUAAAGAAAUUCAGCCCUAGACUCUGCAAGAGAAUGGAGAAAUGUGAACCCAAACCCAAAAAUGAAAGCCCGGAAGAAAGCCCCAAGCCCUCAUGGGAAUGGGUACAACCUGUGAGGCGCUGUCUCUCCUGUGAAGAAACAGGGUCACAAGAUUGUCAUAUUAUUUUUUACACUAAUAAUUUUAGAAUUAAAAUCAACUUUAUGUUCUGCUA
Equus caballus (horse) is the source of this 540-nucleotide long non-coding RNA. RefSeq lists it as uncharacterized. Lineage: Eukaryota; Metazoa; Chordata; Mammalia; Perissodactyla; Equidae. The record is from RefSeq and is a predicted model, not a curated record.